RNAcentral lists this ribosomal RNA (580 nucleotides) under uncultured Sphingobacteriales bacterium. RNAcentral's name for it is "bacterial SSU rRNA". It matches the Rfam family "Bacterial small subunit ribosomal RNA", at positions 340 to 919 of the family's 1533-position model. The record is from RNAcentral. Lineage: Bacteria; Pseudomonadati; Bacteroidota; Sphingobacteriia; Sphingobacteriales.
UACGGGAGGCAGCAGUGAGGAAUAUUGGUCAAUGGGCGCAAGCCUGAACCAGCCAUGCCGCGUGCAGGAAGAAUGCCCUAUGGGUUGUAAACUGCUUUUAUUUGGGAAUAAACCUUUCUACGUGUAGAAAGCUGAAGGUACCAAAUGAAUAAGCACCGGCUAACUCCGUGCCAGCAGCCGCGGUAAUACGGAGGAUCCAAGCGUUAUCCGGAUUUAUUGGGUUUAAAGGGUGCGUAGGCGGCGUUGUAAGUCAGUGGUGAAAGUUUUCAGCUUAACUGGAAAAUUGCCAUUGAUACUGCAGUGCUUGAGUAUAGAUGAGGUGGGCGGAAUGUGUCAUGUAGCGGUGAAAUGCAUAGAUAUGACACAGAACACCGAUUGCGAAGGCAGCUCACUAAACUAUAACUGACGCUGAGGCACGAAAGCGUGGGGAUCAAACAGGAUUAGAUACCCUGGUAGUCCACGCCCUAAACGAAGAUUACUCGAUGUUAGCGAUAUACUGUUAGCGUCAAAGCGAAAGCGUUAAGUAAACCACACUGGGGAGUACGCCCGCAAGGGUGAAACUCAAAGGAAUUGACGGGGA